RNAcentral lists this long non-coding RNA (614 nucleotides) under Mus pahari (shrew mouse). Its description in RNAcentral is "lncRNA (MGP_PahariEiJ_G0002595.1)". Lineage: Eukaryota; Metazoa; Chordata; Mammalia; Rodentia; Muridae. The record is from RNAcentral.
AUGUUCAUGUGGCUCCAGUAGUGGGAUCAUUAGCCCACCUGCCUCUGGGAGGACGUCUUCAUGGCUGCCAGGCUGUGCUCGUCAGAUGCUGAAGAAGCACUGUUGGGGGCCCCUGGUCUCAGAAGUUUUGUCAGCCUGACUUCUGAGAGAUACCACCAGAAGAGCUACAUCCACCUCCGUGUUUCUCCUCUGGUUCCGGGGGGCCGUGCACUUUCCUUUAGAACAUCCGUCUGCAUCCCACAUCCCCGCCCCCCCCCCCCCGCCCACAUGCCUCUUUUUCCUGUUUAGCUUGGAUGGCAGGCCGGCUCUGGCCAUCAGAACCAUUGCUGACCUUGGCCGUCUUCACCUGCUGGGCAGACACAAAGUGAGGGCAACAUCUGGACCCAGAGGAGAAAUUAGAGGCCAUUCGUGGAAGCACGCAGGAGGCCGGAAGACCUCUGUCCAAGGCCAAAACACCACACCAUUGUUUUCCAGUUCCAAACAGGAAGGGAACCUGGGUGUGCUUGGGCAGAGGAAAGGGAACCUGAGGUGGAUAUAAGUGUGGCAAGUAAUCUCGAGUUUAAAAGGGGCCACAGUCUCUUCUAAUAAACAGUGUAUAAUGUUCUGUAUCCUGA